CGACUCUGGUAUUGAUUGGUGCUUGCAUCAUGAUUUACAUUUGAGUGAGUGGCGAACUGGUGAGUAACACGUGGGAAACCUGCCCAGAAGCGGGGGAUAACACCUGGAAACAGAUGCUAAUACCGCAUAACAACUUGGACCGCAUGGUCCGAGUUUGAAAGAUGGCUUCGGCUAUCACUUUUGGAUGGUCCCGCGGCGUAUUAGCUAGAUGGUGGGGUAACGGCUCACCAUGGCAAUGAUACGUAGCCGACCUGAGAGGGUAAUCGGCCACAUUGGGACUGAGACACGGCCCAAACUCCUACGGGAGGCAGCAGUAGGGAAUCUUCCACAAUGGACGAAAGUCUGAUGGAGCAACGCCGCGUGAGUGAAGAAGGGUUUCGGCUCGUAAAACUCUGUUGUUAAAGAAGAACAUAUCUGAGAGUAACUGUUCAGGUAUUGACGGUAUUUAACCAGAAAGCCACGGCUAACUACGUGCCAGCAGCCGCGGUAAUACGUAGGUGGCAAGCGUUGUCCGGAUUUAUUGGGCGUAAAGCGAGCGCAGGCGGUUUUUUAAGUCUGAUGUGAAAGCCUUCGGCUCAACCGAAGAAGUGCAUCGGAAACUGGGAAACUUGAGUGCAGAAGAGGACAGUGGAACUCCAUGUGUAGCGGUGAAAUGCGUAGAUAUAUGGAAGAACACCAGUGGCGAAGGCGGCUGUCUGGUCUGUAACUGACGCUGAGGCUCGAAAGUAUGGGUAGCAAACAGGAUUAGAUACCCUGGUAGUCCAUACCGUAAACGAUGAAUGCUAAGUGUUGGAGGGUUUCCGCCCUUCAGUGCUGCAGCUAACGCAUUAAGCAUUCCGCCUGGGGAGUACGGCCGCAAGGCUGAAACUCAAAGGAAUUGACGGGGGCCCGCACAAGCGGUGGAGCAUGUGGUUUAAUUCGAAGCUACGCGAAGAACCUUACCAGGUCUUGACAUACUAUGCAAAUCUAAGAGAUUAGACGUUCCCUUCGGGGACAUGGAUACAGGUGGUGCAUGGUUGUCGUCAGCUCGUGUCGUGAGAUGUUGGGUUAAGUCCCGCAACGAGCGCAACCCUUAUUAUCAGUUGCCAGCAUUAAGUUGGGCACUCUGGUGAGACUGCCGGUGACAAACCGGAGGAAGGUGGGGAUGACGUCAAAUCAUCAUGCCCCUUAUGACCUGGGCUACACACGUGCUACAAUGGAUGGUACAACGAGUUGCGAACUCGCGAGAGUAAGCUAAUCUCUUAAAGCCAUUCUCAGUUCGGAUUGUAGGCUGCAACUCGCCUACAUGAAGUCGGAAUCGCUAGUAAUCGCGGAUCAGCAUGCCGCGGUGAAUACGUUCCCGGGCCUUGUACACACCGCCCGUCACACCAUGAGAGUUUGUAACACCCAAAGUCGG
This 1396-nucleotide ribosomal RNA is filed under the name Lactiplantibacillus plantarum. RNAcentral's name for it is "bacterial SSU rRNA". It matches the Rfam family "Bacterial small subunit ribosomal RNA", at positions 67 to 1430 of the family's 1533-position model. The record is from RNAcentral. Lineage: Bacteria; Bacillati; Bacillota; Bacilli; Lactobacillales; Lactobacillaceae.